This 268-nucleotide long non-coding RNA is filed under the name Sorghum bicolor (sorghum). Its description in RNAcentral is "long non-coding RNA (SBIC_LNC013803)". Lineage: Eukaryota; Viridiplantae; Streptophyta; Magnoliopsida; Poales; Poaceae. The record is from RNAcentral.
GCUCACCAGCGGUUGGAGAAGCCGGUACCCUCUCAUGCAUCAAGUGGUCCUCAUGAGACGGUGAAUACACCACUCCAUCCUCAAGGUGGACUCUCUCCAGGUGUACAUCACUUGGAGUUGGCGAGGAAACAUUCAACACAAUAUCCUUUUUGUACCAGAGGAUGAACUGUUUCUUGAGUAGUCCAAGCUCACGAAUCCCCUCGCUAGUUGGGUGUUCAAUCUUAUGCUUCGCGUACUCGGGAUUCACGGUAUGCACCUCAACCUUACU